AGCAUUUAGCCUAGUCAGUUGUAUUCCAGAAGUUUAAAUCCUAUUGUUCAAGCUCUCCAGUUAGAUAAGGUAAUCGAACUGCAUUCCAAAACUGACAGAGUUGCACAAGGUUGUCUAAUGUGAGCUGGCAUAUAACAUUAAACUUACAUCCACUCCACCCUCCACGUCACUAAUCAGAGGUUUAUCCUGCUGAGAGCUCCGUGCAGGCAGAGACAGCAUUCUACAUUCUCCCCUAGGACUCAAGGUUUGAGGCUGAUUAUCAAAUAGGUCCUGUCCGCACUUGGAGAAUACAUUUUAUUACUGCUGUCAGUAAAGAUGUGAUACCCACAGAACACUAAUCAUGGACUGGCCUCACUAAGGAUUAUCCUUACGAGUACUUGGAGAUCAGUUCGUAUAGCACGGAAUGAGCAUGCCAGUUUAAAAACCAAAACAACCUCCUCCAUGAGUCAGUUGGUUCAUAAUAAAGGUAGUGCUUGUUACCACAUUAGCAAAUAGUUUCAGGUCUUUCUUCACUUCUUUUUUAAGCUGCUCUUGCCCCUGGCCUCGCCCCUGGCAAGCAGAGAGCUUGCUAGAGGAGUGUUCUUUGACAAUCGGCUAUUGUGCUAAAGCUUUCCACAGCCCAAUUCUCCUUCAGACUAACAAAGUCUACUUCUCCCGUAGCCUCUGUAAGUGGUUAUUUCAUUACAGCCACCUAAACCUUCAUGCUUUGGUGAGUCUUGGUAGGUGUUUCAUCAUGAGGCUUCACGAGGAACUAAACUGGAAUACCCCAAAACCCAACAAGCAAAGAAAAACCAUCGGGUCCGUUUGCUUCUUAGGAUCCUGUCUAGGCAUCUAGAAAAGUUUAUUUUAAAAACACUGCUUAAAACAAGCUUGUGGGUUAACCCUAAUGCUGGCCACUGAGAUGAGAGACUACAUUUUGUUCGUCAUGAGAAAGAGACCAGUGUGUUACAAGAGUUGUCUGCUGACUAUUUCUGUACUACUUCAUGAGAUAUGAGCCACAAGGAUACCAGGGAAGGGGUUGCAGGAGCCCACACAUGGUCCCACCCAGCAAAUGGUACAAGCAGAUAACUCACAGAAAUAACGACCAGGGAAAGGCUGGGGAAAGGGCAGGGGCAGAUAAACACCCAGCAGGGAAACCUUUCCUGCUGACAAAUGGUACAAGCAGAUAACUCACAGAAAUAACGACCAGGGAAAUGCUGGGGAAGGGGCAGGGGCAGAUAAACACCCAGCAGGGAAACCUUUCCUGCUGACAAAUGGUACAAGCAGAUAACUCACAGAAAUAACGACCAGGGAAAGGCUGGGGAAGGGGCAGGGGCAGAUAACAGUUUGCAAGGCAGGAUAUUUGCUUGCUUAAGCUUAAUAGGGCACAUAUUGCGUUAAUCAUAAGAUCUUGGUAAUUUUCCACAGAGAAGUCACCAAAUAAGGACAUAGGGUGAAGAAGACGCAGCUGAGGAAGACUCUGCAGCCUUCAUCACCGACCACCAGGAGGUAGAAGGAUGACCCCCCUAGCAACAACCAGCGCAGGCACAGAGUACUCCGAGAUGAGGUGGACUCCUGAAGGAUGGAGAGGAUAAAAGGACUGAAUCAGAAACUAGCUGGGCAGCAGUUGGUGGAGCGGAAACUCCCCUGUCGCCCAGCGCUGAGCCUUUGCUUACCAUCUCCCAUCUGCGUGGCAAUGAAACAGCUUCAUAUAACUCAACAAAGGAGACAUUGAUUUAGUAAAGUCCUCCAAGAACCUCAUACGGUAUCCUACACCUGGCUCAGAAAUACGCCGUAAAGAGGAGGAGGUUUGUUAAUUCCCAAGCAGCUGUGAACAAUUUAAUCUCUUUGCAAACAGCCCAUCAUCCUAUUCCAAUUAAAGGACAUGAAACAAACAGGAAAUGUUGUGAAUGUUCUACAACUUCAGCUGGAAUAAAAAAAAAUAAACCAAAGGAACAAACCACUUCAGCUGAAAACCGACUAAUAUAAAUAAGGAAACAAUCAAAAACAGUUAAUAAAACUUCUGGUUUGGAUGACACAAUUGUUUUACACAGUGCUAAAAGAGUGUAUCUCUCAAGUGUGUGUAACAUGUUGCCAAACCACAGAAUAGUAUGCAGAAAUGAGCAGGGAUUUUCUAUUGGCAUAAGAAGUUUGAAGACACUUGGCUGGAUAAUGAAGAUCAAUCUUCUAUCAUGUGGAAAUUACCUAUUGCUUAUAAAGCACCUAUUACCUAAUCCUGCGAAGUACUUCAAGAAACACUCCAAAAGCAAGAAAAGAGAAUCUAAGACCACUGGUUGCACCUGUCUCUUUGCAUCCAGCCACGAAGAACAUCCUUCUGUUCUGGGCUGACACUGCCUGGGUUGACUCUGUUGAAUCUGCCAACAGAAUAAGGCUUAGCAAAUAGACUGGGGAAAGGAGAAUUCUGUCUCAGCUGUUUGCAGUCAUCUGAGAGCUUCUGGUGAUCCAUGCCACUCUGUGCUCACUGCAAAAUGCAUACACCUUGGGGGAAAAUAUUAGUAAUCUGGGCACAAGAGCUAAAAACUUUCCGGUAGAAUAAUCUGAAUCACAGAUUUGGCUUGGUUUCCUCAUGGAAGAAAUAGAAAGUCCCCUUGCUCUGUGAAAUCAACCAUCAUUCAACUAUUAUAUUUUUAAAGGACAUUCUCAGUAAACUGCAAAGAUGCCAAGACCGCUGCUGUGCCCUAAUGAUAUAUGUGAGACCUUAAUGUUGAUACAGAGCUCAGGGUCAUGAAGAUUUUCUAGGAGAGAGCAAGAACUCUAGAAAAUCUACCAUCACAUUAGUAAAAUUAACAAUGUUGAGGGGAACUCUUCUUGGACUCAUGACAACCAGUCUGACCCAUUAUAACUUAAAAGUCAUAACAGAGAGAAGUAAAAUUUCACCAUGGACAUUCCUCUCGAGUAAAGACCUCCCCCUGCCAAAAAAACCACCCCAAACAAACCCCACAGAAAUCCAGACCAAACAGAUGUCUCUUUUCUCCAUUAGCAUCCUGUCUUGCUUCUUUUGAACCACUGCUACUGCUGUAUCAGAGAACAUUUGAUACGGGGAUAUCAGGGUUGGGCUGGGUUAACCAAGAUGGAACAACAAUGAACUACAGGAAAAGGUGGAGGGCUGGAGCUGAAACACAAAAGGACAUUAAAUAGUUCUGAAAUUACUCCCACUCAGGUUGUGCUUUCCUCUAACAAUCCCUGUGUGCCCUCUAAAUUUGUUGGCAGCUAGCCAAGCCUUUAGAGCUCUAACACCAUCCUAUUGUCAAACUGUCUACAAUUCUCCAAAAUUUUGCUGAGAGGAGCAUUCAACAGAGAAAGAUAUGGUCUGGUUGCCUGCAGUUCUUCCCAUCAGCAGACACAGUGGAUAGAAAGAGUCACUGUAGGAGCAUUCCUGUAGCCCUGAUCCACUGAUGUUCCUUUGGCACAUGCAGGCAUAUUCAUGAGCUCUAUAUCCAAAACAGGUGAAUUAUUCUCAGCAGCAAAACUAAAUUUGAACUCUUGUCCUAGUAAAGGGCAGGAGUGGACAAGGUUCAGGGCAAGAACAUAUUUGUCACAGAAAAGGGAGAGGACAUGUAA
Agelaius phoeniceus (red-winged blackbird) is the source of this 3561-nucleotide non-coding RNA. The record is from RefSeq and is a predicted model, not a curated record. NCBI's taxonomy places the organism in Eukaryota, Metazoa, Chordata, Aves, Passeriformes, Icteridae.